This 492-nucleotide ribosomal RNA is filed under the name uncultured bacterium. Its description in RNAcentral is "partial 16S ribosomal RNA". It matches the Rfam family "Bacterial small subunit ribosomal RNA", at positions 29 to 508 of the family's 1533-position model. The record is from RNAcentral.
GUGAACGCUGGCGGUAGGCCUCACACCUGCAAGUCGAACGGCAGCACAGUAAGAGCUUGCUCUUACGGGUGGCGAGUGGCGGACGGGUGAGGAAUACAUCGGAAUCUACUUUUUCGUGGGGGAUAACGUAGGGAAACUUACGCUAAUACCGCAUACGACCUACGGGUGAAAGCAGGGGAUCUUCGGACCUUGCGCGAUUGAAUGAGCCGAUGUCGGAUUAGCUAGUUGGCGGGGUAAAGGCCCACCAAGGCGACGAUCCGUAGCUGGUCUGAGAGGAUGAUCAGCCACACUGGAACUGAGACACGGUCCAGACUCCUACGGGAGGCAGCAGUGGGGAAUAUUGGACAAUGGGCGCAAGCCUGAUCCAGCCAUACCGCGUGGGUGAAGAAGGCCUUCGGGUUGUAAAGCCCUUUUGUUGGGAAAGAAAAGCAGCAGGUUAAUACCCCGCUGUUCUGACGGUACCCAAAGAAUAAGCACCGGCUAACUUCGUGC